This 240-nucleotide ribosomal RNA is filed under the name uncultured Chryseobacterium sp. Its description in RNAcentral is "partial 16S ribosomal RNA". It matches the Rfam family "Bacterial small subunit ribosomal RNA", at positions 28 to 270 of the family's 1533-position model. The record is from RNAcentral. Lineage: Bacteria; Pseudomonadati; Bacteroidota; Flavobacteriia; Flavobacteriales; Weeksellaceae.
GAUGAACGCUAGCGGGAGGCCUAACACAUGCAAGCCGAGCGGUAGAAGAUCUUCGGAUCUUUGAGAGCGGCGUACGGGUGCGGAACACGUGUGCAACCUACCUUUAUCAGGGGGAUAGCCUUUCGAAAGGAAGAUUAAUACCCCAUAAUAUAUUGACUGGCAUCAGUCGAUAUUGAAAACUCCGGUGGAUAGAGAUGGGCACGCGCAAGAUUAGAUAGUUGGUAGGGUAACGGCCUACCA